GGACCAGCACUCACCAGGUAACCUUGACCUGAAGAGCAAACAUCAAUUACUGGAAUAUGAACAAUUGGAUCGCACAUCAAAGGGGUGAAGGUUGGGAUCUGCUGAGAACCAGGCAUCGGCAAUCUAAGCAAUGGGUCUGGCAGCAAUGCAGGUAACUUUAAUGAGGGAACAUCAGCCAGACUGAGAGGUGGUGCUGGAGUUAACAGACUGGAGGACCUGGCAGCUGACAAUAA
This 233-nucleotide unclassified non-coding RNA is filed under the name Hevea brasiliensis (rubber tree). The record is from RNAcentral. Lineage: Eukaryota; Viridiplantae; Streptophyta; Magnoliopsida; Malpighiales; Euphorbiaceae.